This 297-nucleotide ribosomal RNA is filed under the name uncultured bacterium. RNAcentral's name for it is "partial 16S ribosomal RNA". It matches the Rfam family "Bacterial small subunit ribosomal RNA", at positions 613 to 911 of the family's 1533-position model. The record is from RNAcentral.
CUUCCAACUGCAUUGAGAUACUGGACGACUAGACUGUGGUAGAGGAUAGCGGAAUUCCUGGUGUACAGUGAAAUGCGUAAAGAUCAGGAGGAACAUCCAUGGCAAAGGCAACUACCUGGACCAACAUUGACACUGAGGCACGAAAGCGUGGGGUCAAACAGGAUUAUAUACCCUGGUAAUCCACACCCUAAACAAUGCGAACUGUAUGUUGGGUGCAAUUUGCCACGCAGUAUCGAAGCUAACGCUUUAAGUUCGCCGCCUGGGGAGUACGGUCGCAAGAUGAAACUAAAAGGAAAU